AGUAGUAAGUAGUUGCAAAUGAGCUAAAAUGCUAAAAUUGUCCAUGAUGAGAUUCAAACACGCAACCUUUGAGUUGCUAGACGUUCGCAUUAUACAGCCUUCCUUUCAUUUUUUGGCCUUCAGUAACCUGCUGUAUUAUGUAACCAUACCAAACAAAACAUACAGUAUUAUACUAAUUUGAAUGUCUCAGACAGAGUGACUAUAUAUUAACACAUUUUAUCAGUCUUAUUGGCAAGUCAAGAAUUAUAAUGAAGGUUCAAUAUGUGCUAACAUCAUCUCCCAUUUCAGGCACAAUGUUGAUGAUGCCAAUGAGGUGCCCUACAUGAAGAGCAAUGGAGUCGACCCUAAGAAAUAACAACCCUCACAGCAGAUGUAGCUCUAGUCUACAGUCUACAUGGUACAUAAAAGUAAAAUAACAAGUAGCCUACAGAAGUGAAUGCUGUCUGAUAUUUCAAGAUGUGGUGGAAAGGAAUGCAAGAGGAGGAGGGGAAGAGAGAGGGAGGGAAAAUGGAACAUGUGGCAGAAGUAGAGAUGCAUGAAGUGAGAAGAUGUAUGCCCGUUCCACAUUUAGCUUUCAAGUACUCACCACUAUGCUGCUCCCACUAAAUGAUUUAGUGGCAGAACAACAAUCCAUCAGCUCUGUGGAAGGUUAUUAUAAAUGCAUUACCUCCCCAAGCCUACCAGUUCAAUGGAGUCGUGCAGGGCCUCAUAAAUAUGGGUCAAUAAAGGUACACACACAAAAGACUCAGGAUGAAUGAAAUAGGCUUUAUUGUUUUAGUGUGAACUUUCACCCUACCUGUGCGUAGAAGCUCUCAGAUCUGAGGCGGGUCUUUUCAAAUGAAGAGACACACGAACUGAAGACAGGUCUUCACCUUGAUGGCUACACAUCUGUCUAGUUUGACAGGCAAACAUCCUAUAACCUAAACUACAAAAUGGAUAUGUUACAGACAACAGCAGCAGCUCCAUCUCAGUCAUCUGGAAUUGAUGCAGCUGGCGCCAUUGUCUCUCCAGUGUUCAGAGACUGUGCAUUGCCUUGUGAAAAGCAUCUGGAAUUAAUAACAGGCCAGGGUAGGCCAGCACAACAAGAAUCUUUUUUUUUUUUUUAUCACAUCUUCAAUCCCCCAUCUGUCCUGCAGAUCCAUCUAAUGUUAGAGGAGUCCCAGGAAGGAUGUGUCCAUUGAGUAAAUUAUAAUGGCUUUUAAAGAAGAGGCAGAACUUUAAAAUUAUGCACUUUAAAUGGUAGGAUGUUCUUGGUAAUCUUUCACAUUCCUAAAGUGACCUAAAUCUUGUUUUGACUGAAACAAGGAGCUUUGGAUAAGCAAUAUAUUUCAAAUGAAUCGCUUGAACCCAUAAAUAUUUGACCAAAUGUCAGAGAACAUAAAUGUCUUGUAGUGAAGAUGUGUGUGCCAUGGCUACUCAAUCUAAAGAGCAAUGGAGAGAGGCAUCUGUUUUGUACCUCUCUGUCAACCCUCUCCAGUCACAAUGCAUUGCUAUGUGAUGAAAGAAAGCAUGCAAUGAAUCACCUCUUCCCCUACACCUUUAGCAUCCCGUUGGUCCCGUUGAAGGAGCAACAGUCAGAAAGAGGUGUCUGCCUAUGUUCAAAACACAGCUCCAACUUUCCUUGACAUUUUUAAAAGCAGCUAGGUGUCACCUUAGUAAACGUCUGCCUUGAGUCAGAGCUUGGUGAUGAUGGUGGUUACUGGUAGGACGGUUUGUUACAGAAUCGACUUUCCUUUGACAUGACAUCUUACAACCUGCUACUUCUCUCUAAAGCAAAAAUUAUGUCUGUUCUUUGCUCUCCCCACCUGAUCAAAUAAAGAGAUUGGA
Oncorhynchus kisutch (coho salmon) is the source of this 1827-nucleotide long non-coding RNA. RefSeq lists it as uncharacterized. The record is from RefSeq and is a predicted model, not a curated record. Lineage: Eukaryota; Metazoa; Chordata; Actinopteri; Salmoniformes; Salmonidae. The transcript is spliced from 3 exons.